Molecule: ribosomal RNA, 497 nt
Filed under: uncultured bacterium
Lineage: Bacteria
Description: partial 16S ribosomal RNA
Rfam family: Bacterial small subunit ribosomal RNA
Source: RNAcentral
GAUGAACGCUGGCGGCGUGCCUAAUACAUGCCAGUCGAGCGAACGGACGAGAAGCUUGCUUCUCUGAUGUUAGCGGCGGACGGGUGAGUAACACGUGGAUAACCUACCUAUAAGACUGGGAUAACUUCGGGAAACCGGAGCUAAUACCGGAUAAUAUUUUGAACCGCAUGGUUCAAAAGUGAAAGACGGUCUUGCUGUCACUUAUCGAUGGAUCCGCGCUGCAUUAGCUAGUUGGUAAGGUAACGGCUUACCAAGGCAACGAUGCAUAGCCGACCUGAGAGGGUGAUCGGCCACACUGGAACUGGGACACGGUCCAGACUCCUACGGGAGGCAGCAGUAGGGAAUCUUCCGCAAUGGGCGAAAGCCUGACGGAGCAACGCCGCGUGAGUGAUGAAGGUCUUCGGAUCGUAAAACUCUGUUAUUAGGGAAGAACAUAUGUGUAAGUAACUGUGCACAUCUUGACGGUACCUAAUCAGAAAGCCACGGCUAACUACGUG